GUUUGUUGAGACCGAUCAGGAAGCAGCUGUUAAGGCAUGAAAAUAACAUGCUGAGGCCGGAAAUUAUCCUGACGUCUCAUCUAAAACCUCCUGUGGUUUCACACCUCCAAAUGGCAAAACGUCACCUCUGGUUUUGGAGACCUUUCACACUGAACUGAUCGUUCCCUCCACGUCCUGACAUGGAAGUAAGCGAUGAUGAUACGUACAGUUAUGAUUGGAAUAUAUAUAUACAUAUCCGUGUUUUGAAGAAAUCUAACAAUUCUGGACACGAGGAUCAUUACAAAUCAACACUGCCAUCCGCAGAGCUACGCUGCUGUGGAACGCAGCACCCAGGAAGCAAGCGCUCCAAGUUCUGCUUCGCUGCAGACGUGGUGGAUAAGAUUGUCCCAGCUGUGGUGCGCCUGGAACUUUUCCAGCUGAAGCAAGACAAAAUAACACCUUCAACGCCAGGAAAUAGGACUGCCCCUUUUUGUCCUUUCCCCUCGCCAGGCUGCCUGUUUCCAGCGAGGAGCUCUCUGUGGCGAGCGGCUCCGGGUUUACAGUGUCAGAGGACGGCUGGAUCUUCAACAAACAGAAGAUAGAAGUUGGACGCUACAGUCACGGACGUGGAUCAGAAAAUGGACGUGGCGCUCAUCACACUGAGCCAGAUGUGAGUGGCCACAUUUUCCCCCUCAGCUCCCGACGGGCCUCAGACUAAAGUCAGUCUUGUGUUUUCAUCAGGCCUGGCAGCUUGUCAUCAGAGGCCGACAUCAAAGUGGAUAAAUCCUGAACAGAAAGGGGGCGGAUGAUCCGGUCAACGAGGGCUUUUUCCCACCAAAAUUAGACUCCAUCCCAACACGGUCGAUUUGUCGCCCGACCUCCUCUGGGGUGGUAUCGCCUUUUACAAUUCAAGGCUCAGCUUUUCUUUUUUUUUUUGUAUAUUUGCGAACGCAGCUCUGAAUAAAACAUGUCACUGCUCAGACAUGUUCUCACACAGCCAGUUUCUUUGCAUGGUGGAGGAGGAGGACUGUACUUCCAACCACUUCAGUCAGACUCCGCUCAGCAUGAAGUUUACGAUUAACAUUUUUUAGCGCUGAUCUGAAUACAGGAACGGCCCAACAUCAAGAGCAA
This 1110-nucleotide long non-coding RNA is filed under the name Sparus aurata (gilthead seabream). RNAcentral's name for it is "lncRNA (ENSSAUG00010012058.1)". The record is from RNAcentral. Lineage: Eukaryota; Metazoa; Chordata; Actinopteri; Spariformes; Sparidae.